This 595-nucleotide ribosomal RNA is filed under the name Corynebacterium striatum. RNAcentral describes it as "partial 23S ribosomal RNA". It matches the Rfam family "Bacterial large subunit ribosomal RNA", at positions 1 to 561 of the family's 2925-position model. The record is from RNAcentral. Lineage: Bacteria; Bacillati; Actinomycetota; Actinomycetes; Mycobacteriales; Corynebacteriaceae.
GUUAUUUAGGGCGCAUGGUGGAUGCCUUGGCAUGCUGAGCCGAUGAAGGACGUGAAAGGCUGCGUUAAGCCUCGGGGAGUUGUCAAUUGAGCGUUGAUCCGAGGAUGUCCGAAUGGGGAAACCUGGCACCUGUUAUGGGGUGUUACCCUUCAGUGAAUUCAUAGCUGUUGUGGGGGUUACGCGGGGAAGUGAAACAUCUCAGUACCCGUAGGAGAAGAAAAUAAUAAUGAUUCUGCUAGUAGUGGCGAACGAACGUGGAUGAGGCUAAACCGUGUGCAUGUGAUACCUGGUAGGGGUUGUGUGUGCGGUGUUGUGGGCCCUGAUGAGGAUGGCUACUGACGUCCUGCCCGCGCAUUGUUGUUAGGUGAAGUGGUGUGGAAACGCCUGCCGUAGAAGGUGAUAGUCCUGUAGCUGAAGAUGAUGGUGUGUGGGUUGUUGGGUUGCCCGAGUAGCAGCGGGCUCGUGGAAUCUGCUGUGAAUCUGCCGGGACCACCCGGUAAGCCUAAAUACUCAGUGUGACCGAUAGUGGAUAGUACCGUGAGGGAAUGGUGAAAAGUACCCCGGGAGGGGAGUGAAAUAGUUCCUGAAACCAUGU